UACGGAGGGUGCAAACGUUGCUCGGAAUCAUUGGGCGUAAAGCGCACGUAGGCGGCCUGUUAAGUCGGGUGUGAAAGCCCGGGGCUCAACUCCGGAAUUGCCUUUAAGACUGCAUCGCUAGAAUUUGGAGAGGUAAGUGGAAUUCCGAGUGUAGAGGUGAAAUUCGUAGAUAUUCGGAAGAACACCAGUGGCGAAGGCGACUUACUGGACACAUAUUGACGCUGAGGUGCGAAAGCGUGGGGAGCAAACAGG
This 252-nucleotide ribosomal RNA is filed under the name uncultured bacterium. Its description in RNAcentral is "partial 16S ribosomal RNA". It matches the Rfam family "Bacterial small subunit ribosomal RNA", at positions 524 to 776 of the family's 1533-position model. The record is from RNAcentral.